This 301-nucleotide ribosomal RNA is filed under the name uncultured bacterium. RNAcentral describes it as "partial 16S ribosomal RNA". It matches the Rfam family "Bacterial small subunit ribosomal RNA", at positions 509 to 809 of the family's 1533-position model. The record is from RNAcentral.
CAGUCGCCGCGGUAAUACGAAGGGUGCAAGCGUUAAUCGGAAUUACUGGGCGUAAAGCGUGCGUAGGCGGUGAGUUAAGUCUGUUGUGAAAUCCCCGGGCUCAACCUGGGAAUGGCAAUGGAUACUGGCAAGUUAGAGCGUGUCAGAGGAUGGUGGAAUUCCCGGUGUAGCGGUGAAAUGCGUAGAGAUCGGGAGGAACAUCAGUGGCGAAGGCGGCCAUCUGGGACAACACUGACGCUGAGGCACGAAAGCGUGGGGAGCAAACAGGAUUAGAUACCCCCGUAGUCCCUGUCUCUUAUAA